GCUUGUUGGUGGGGUAAUGGCCUACCAAGGCGACGACGGGUAGCCGGCCUGAGAGGGUGACCGGCCACACUGGGACUGAGAUACGGCCCAGACUCCUACGGGAGGCAGCAGUGGGGAAUAUUGCACAAUGGGCGCAAGCCUGAUGCAGCGACGCCGCGUGAGGGAUGACGGCCUUCGGGUUGUAAACCUCUUUCAGCACAGACGAAGCGCAAGUGACGGUAUAUGCAGAAGAAGGACCGGCCAACUACGUGCCAGCAGCCGCGGUAAUACGUAGGGUCCGAGCGUUGUCCGGAAUUACUGGGCGUAAAGAGCUCGUAGGUGGUUUGUCGCGUUGUCCGUGAAAACUCACAGCUCAACUGUGGGCGUGCGGGCGAUACGGGCAGACUGGAGUACUGCAGGGGAGACUGGAAUUCCUGGUGUAGCGGUGGAAUGCGCAGAUAUCAGGAGGAACACCGGUGGCGAAGGCGGGUCUCUGGGCAGUAACUGACGCUGAGGAGCGAAAGCGUGGGGAGCGAACAGGAUUAGAUACCCUGGUAGUCCACGCCGUAAACGGUGGGUACUAGGUGUGGGUUUCCUUCCUUGGGAUCCGUGCCGUAGCUAGCGCAUUAAGUACCCCGCCUGGGGAGUACGGAAUCUCUAGAGGAUCCCC
This 649-nucleotide ribosomal RNA is filed under the name uncultured Actinomycetes bacterium. RNAcentral's name for it is "bacterial SSU rRNA". It matches the Rfam family "Bacterial small subunit ribosomal RNA", at positions 244 to 914 of the family's 1533-position model. Lineage: Bacteria; Bacillati; Actinomycetota; Actinomycetes. The record is from RNAcentral.